UUAUGUUUACAACUCCUAAGGCAAGUUCUAGGUAGCUAAUAUAGAAACAUGCAUUAAUGACAAUCCUAAAGAUAAAUAUCAAAACUUAGCAAUCUAUACUUGGGGCUAAUCCCUAAUAACCUAUUUAAACCCUAAAUCUAACAAAGAGAACUACUCAGACAUGGCCAAGCAAUUCAUAACAACAAUAAGGUAUAAAAACUGCAUUAGAUAAAUAGAUAGAUA
RNAcentral lists this long non-coding RNA (222 nucleotides) under Brassica rapa (field mustard). Its description in RNAcentral is "long non-coding RNA (BRAP_LNC001249)". The record is from RNAcentral. Lineage: Eukaryota; Viridiplantae; Streptophyta; Magnoliopsida; Brassicales; Brassicaceae.